UUUUUUUUUUUUUUUUUUUUGACAGUCUCUCAGAGAGAGAUGAAAGUGAGUGAGAAAUGGCCACAUAGCAACUCUUGUGUUCUAGGAAGUUGAUAAACAGUGGGCCAGCUCUUCCCUUGGUGGCUGUUUGGAAUCGUGCAGGGCCUUUAGAAUGCUAUGGCUAAUGCAGCUUUCAUCAGUGAAGGCAUAAGUAGUAGUAAUAUUUCUUGUAGCUAUUUCAGUCAUGCUGAAUAAAUCAGAACCAGACAUAAGGGAGAGUUGUGGACAGAAAUUAGAGCCUCAUGCUUUCACAGUACUAUCUCACUUGUCGAGUGAUAAUAUGAAGCAUUGAUCCUUAUUAAUUUUGUUGUCCUCCUUGGAAAAAACUUGGCCUGGUAGCUCACACCUAUAAUUAAAGUUAUUUUAGAGGCUGGGUAUGGAAGUUUGAGGCCAACUUGGGCACAGUAUGAGACACUGUCUCAAUAACAAAACCAAAACCAAAACCAACCCAAAAAUGCCCUAGAGAUAACUUAUCAGUCACACAUUAGUACUGUAACUUAGAAAACCAGGCUUUGGAUUGGAAAGAUAGCUCAUCAGAUAAAAAUGUUUGCCACUAAGCCUAGUGAUCGUAGCUCCAUCCCUGAGUUCCCCUCUGUGGAGGAGAGAACAGAGUUCCCAAAGUUGUCUUUCGACCUCCACAUGCUUAUAUAUCUAAACACAUACAUAGGAAUAAAUAAAAUUUAAAAUGUGAUAUAAAAAUUCAAAAGAAAUCUAGCCCUUGACCUUGAUAUUUUUCUUGAUUCAUGUUUUUUCUCCCUCUUUGUAAAUAUCUAAAAAUUAUUUUUAUUAUUGCUAUAUUACAUAUAUUAUUAUCAUUAUUCUCUUUCUGGUGUGUGUGUGUGUGUGUGUGUGUGUGUGUGUGUGUGUGUGUGUGUGUGUGUGUGUGUGUGUGUGUGUGUAUUGGGAAAAAGUCCCAGCUAGAUGCAUGUGUGUGUAGGUUAGGGGAAAACUCCAUGUAGUUUGUUGUUUUCUUUCACAUUUAUGUGUUCUAGGAUCAAAUUCUAGUUUCUGGUAAGUGCCUUGUGGCUUAUUCACUUCUCUGGUCAGUCCAUCUUUGAAAACAUUUUUAGGUUAUUUUAUUUUACAUUUGAGUGUUUUUCCUUUAUGUUUUGUGUGUGUACCACAUGGCUGGUGCCCUUGAAGGGCAUUAGAUCCCCUGGAAUUGAGAGUUAAAGAUGGCUUUGAGUCAAGAGCCACACAUGUUCUUAAUCAUUGAACCAGCCCCAGCCCCCACUCUGUUAAAGAACAUUACUCAUUCUUGGAAUCCCCUCUUCUACUCUUUCCCUAAACCCAUCCUUCUUUUUCCUUAAUGUCCUUUUUAAAAAAAACAAAACAAAAACAAAACAAAACAAAACAAAGCUGACUGUAUUAGUCACUUUUCCGUUGCUGUGGUAAAGUACCAUGACUAAGGCAACUUAUGAAAGAAAGGGUUUAUUUUAUUUGGCUUAGGUUCCAGAGGAUGAGAAUCUGUUGUGAUGGGAAAGCAGCAGGUAUGUCAGCUUGAGAAAGAAGCUAAAGGUUGAUUUUAUGUCUUGACUUGUAAGCAGGAAACAGCAUGGAAUCAAGAUGGUGUGAAUCUUUUAGAUCUUAAGAGCCUGCCUUCAGUGACAUACCUCCUCCAUCAAUGCCAUAGUUCUUAAGCUCACACCCAAACACUGCCAUCAACUGGGGACCAAGUAUCGAAUAUCUGGGAUAAUGGGGACAUCUCAUUCAAACUAGUAAAUACAAUUAGUACUGACUGUGUUUACAUGGUCCCUGUCUUAUCCAUGCUAUAUGGUUGACUGGCUUGUGCAAUAAUGCAGGUAACAAUGGCUCUUUGAGUUAAUAAGUGUAGUUGUCAUGCCCAAAAGACAGCAUUCCACAGCAGUCCUUCCUAGUCACUGGCUCGUAUGGUCUUCUGCCUCCUCUUCUACAAUAUUUCCUAGGCCUCGUUUGAGAGAAUGACAAAGAUGACCCAUUUAGAGUUGAACACUUCAUAGUUACUUUCAUAGAGCUUUAACCAACUGUGAGUCUCUGUAUUAACCUAUGCCCACCACAAAAACUUUAAUUGACUAAAGUUGAGAGCAGCAUACAUCUAUGGCAAUGAGCAUAAUAUUUAGAAGAUGGCUUGAGAACAUGUCCUUUAAGCAAAACAGCAGUAGUAGGUUCUCAUGUAGGGCUUUUGAUUUCCCUAGUCGUGGACUUUUUGAAGUAAGUUUAUAGUACCAGGCAAUAAUUUCCUCCUGCAGUGCAGUCCUCAAGUCCAAUAAUAAGUCAGUUACCACUUGAUGGUCAUGCCACUGUUUUACCAGUGACCUGAAAGCUAUUGUAGCAUGCAGGGGCCACCACUAGGUGGAACUAUUGAUGGAUGGUUCUCCUCUCCAUACGUAUGGUGCUCAUAUCAUUUUCCACAAUAUUUUUGGUAGAAUUCCCCUUUUGCUUAUGGACCUGUUUUAUGUACGUACAGUAGUAAACUAGCAGUUAAGAGAAUUAUUCCCAGUAACUGUCAUGCAGAAUAGGUAAUUAUGACUAGGCUUCAGCCUGAAAAAUCAAUAAGGAACUCAGAAAUUUAAAUUUGAGGUAAUAAAAUAUUAAAUUACGUUCUUAGAAAUAGAAGAGGAGAUUUGAAUCCUCAUAAUAUAUCACAGAAACUGCACAAUAAUAUGGGAGUUUAUAUGAUAUGAUAAAGCAGCUGCUUCAAUCUGGGAAGCAUAAAUAGCAAAGAUUGUAGCAUUCUGUAGAAGAAAAAUGAAUACAUAAUCCAAAUACAGACGCAGAUACCUAUUACUAGCAUUUGGUAGUCCAAGAAGGACUUAAUUCGUUUAAAGGCAUUCAGAUCUAUGUCCAAUUUAUUGAAAACAAAACAAGCAAACAAAAAGUGGUAUAGGUUAUAGUGGGCUGGGACGGCAAUUUAAGAAUCCUAUAUUCAGCUAAGAUACCUGGCUUAGCCUGUUUGAAGCAAACCAUGGAAACCAGAUGUGACUCAUAAUAAAGUUACCUUUGUCUAAGAAAGAUAAGAUAGAACACUUAACUAGUCAUGGUCUUACACACCUGCAGCCUCAAACCUAUGGAGGCUGAGUCAAGAAGAUUGCUUUGAAUCUGAUGAGCAUCUGGGCUACAAAGUCGCAGACUACAUCCUGUCCCAAGGAACCAAAAAGAGACAGACACAUACAUACACUAACACACUUGUUGUUGUUGCUUUUUGAGACAGGAUUUCUCUGUAUUUCUGAAAUUCUGUAGACCAGGCUGGACUCAGAGAUCUGCCUGACACAAUCUUCUAAGUGCUGGGAUUAAAGGCAUGCACCGCUCACCUAUGAGGUAUAUACACUAACAAAUUCACACACACAAACCAAUCUCGGUGUAUAUUCAAAGGUAUAGAGGUUGAAGCAGGAGGAUUGAGUUAUCUUUGUCUAAGAAAGAUAAGAUCUACAUUAGCUAGUCACAGUUGUGUACACCUGUAGCCCCAGCACUAUGUUCAAGAGCAGAUGAAUUUUUAGAGUGAGACCAUGUAAUC
RNAcentral lists this long non-coding RNA (3532 nucleotides) under Mus musculus (house mouse). Its description in RNAcentral is "long non-coding RNA chr8:41299111-41302643". Lineage: Eukaryota; Metazoa; Chordata; Mammalia; Rodentia; Muridae. The record is from RNAcentral.